GACGAACGCUGGCGGCGUGCUUAACACAUGCAAGUCGAGCGGUAAGGCCCUUUCGGGGGUACACGAGCGGCGAACGGGUGAGUAACACGUGGGUGACCUGCCCUCAGCUCUGGGAUAAGCCUGGGAAACCGGGUCUAAUACCGGAUAUGACUCCAUGACGCAUGUUGUGGGGUGAAAGCCUUGUGCGGCUGAGGAUGGGCCCGCGGCCUAUCAGCUUGUUGGUGGGGAUGGCCUACCAAGGCGACGACGGGUAGCCGGCCUGAGAGGGCGACCGGCCACACUGGGACUGAGACACGGCCCAGACUCCUACGGGAGGCAGCAGUGGGGAAUCUUGCGCAAUGGGCGAAAGCCUGACGCAGCGACGCCGCGUGA
RNAcentral lists this ribosomal RNA (372 nucleotides) under uncultured bacterium. Its description in RNAcentral is "bacterial SSU rRNA". It matches the Rfam family "Bacterial small subunit ribosomal RNA", at positions 28 to 404 of the family's 1533-position model. The record is from RNAcentral.